CACCGGCGCGGAGAGUCCGAGCGGAGCAAAGGAGAAAAGAGGCGCCCCACCGACUCGGCAGCGCCUCCCAGGUCAGGGUGCGGCGCCGGCUGUGCGGGGCUGCACUUGGGGAAACUUUGGUUACCUUGUUGGCUGCCGGGAGGAGGGCGCGGAACACGCAGCCCGGGCCUGGCGACCUCCGUGCGCCCCGCCUGUACGCUGAGGCCCUGGGAGCCGGCAUUUCCCGCGCACCCUGUCACUACAGAGACCUGGCAUCCACCGAGGGCCACCGGGGCGCUGGGCACUAUCCAGAGACUCUGUCCCGCCUUCCCGGGCGCGCCUCACGGAGCCCACUCUGCCGCCUCUCGCAAUCUCCGCCCGUUAUCGGCUCCGGCUUUGCGGCGGCGGGGCUUGGACCCCUCUGGCAUGCUGGUUUCACCUCCUUCUUGGCCUUGCAGUGCGGGGUAGGUCCUGAGAGCAGCCGGCGGCUGGGAGGAUCCGGGCAGGGGCCUCGCGGGCGCGAGUUAGCGCCGCAGUGGGAGCGGCGCGCUCGCGGUCGCAGGAGCGCGCUGGUCUGAGGGUCCGACUUGGGCGCGUCUCCGCAGGUGCCUCAGGCAGCCAGGUUGCGGGAGGUGCAAGCUGAGUGCGGAGGGCGGGUUGGUGCGGGCUGCGGAGCUGUUUGUAGCCACUGGUUCGACAAAUGCGAGCUCCACAGGGGCAGGGAGCUGGGUCCCCGAAGCCUGUUGGGGGCGCACAGCUUGGCCCGGACUCCCCCACCCCUCACCCCGAGACCUCUUUGGGGAGAGCUGGGGUCCAGAGGUGCGCCUGCCCUAGUAUGGGGACAAUGGCUGCUCCCCCUCGGGAGUGCCAUUUACCGAAGGAGGGCCAUGUCCUACUGGCGAGCGGCAGCGGUCUGGGUAGAACCCCUUUCUGAUGGAUGGCGAUCGCCUGAGCCCGCCAGCUGCCUGCUUUGGCUCAGGGACGAGGCGACAAAACGCGCACCCUCCCCCAUCGGUGUACUGAUGCUGUUGCCCCAGUCACCUUCCUUUGCCCUUCUCCGACAGCACCUCGAGCUUGCUCCCUCCGCGGUCUCAGGAAAAACUGAGGAAACGAGCUGGGUUCCGGAGCCAGGGGAAACAGUGAAGACGCUGCCAGAAUCUCAACAGCCUGGAAACCCCAUCACCUUGGUUCCCUGGGUCUUGGAGGAACUGACAGCUGGCUGA
Molecule: long non-coding RNA, 1202 nt
Filed under: Sus scrofa (pig)
Lineage: Eukaryota; Metazoa; Chordata; Mammalia; Artiodactyla; Suidae
Description: lncRNA (ENSSSCG00070006603.1)
Source: RNAcentral